GGCCUAACACAUGCAAGUCGAGCGGAAACGACACUAACAAUCCUUCGGGUGCGUUAAUGGGCGUCGAGCGGCGGACGGGUGAGUAAUGCCUAGGAAAUUGCCUUGAUGUGGGGGAUAACCAUUGGAAACGAUGGCUAAUACCGCAUAAUGCCUACGGGCCAAAGAGGGGGAUCUUCGGGCCUCUCGCGUCAAGAUAUGCCUAGGUGGGAUUAGCUAGUUGGUGAGGUAAUGGCUCACCAAGGCGACGAUCCCUAGCUGGUCUGAGAGGAUGAUCAGCCACACUGGAACUGAGACACGGUCCAGACUCCUACGGGAGGCAGCAGUGGGGAAUAUUGCACAAUGGGCGAAAGCCUGAUGCAGCCAUGCCGCGUGUAUGAAGAAGGCCUUCGGGUUGUAAAGUACUUUCAGUUGUGAGGAAGGGGGUGACGUUAAUAGCGUUAUCUCUUGACGUUAGCAACAGAAGAAGCACCGGCUAACUCCGUGCCAGCAGCCGCGGUAAUACGGAGGGUGCGAGCGUUAAUCGSMMUUACUGGGCGUAAAGCGCAUGCAGGUGRUUCAWUAAGUCAGAUGUGAAAGCCCG
This 580-nucleotide ribosomal RNA is filed under the name Vibrio splendidus. RNAcentral's name for it is "bacterial SSU rRNA". It matches the Rfam family "Bacterial small subunit ribosomal RNA", at positions 45 to 604 of the family's 1533-position model. The record is from RNAcentral. Lineage: Bacteria; Pseudomonadati; Pseudomonadota; Gammaproteobacteria; Vibrionales; Vibrionaceae.